GUAGGUGGCAAGCGUUGUCCGGAAUUAUUGGGCGUAAAGCGCGCGCAGGCGGUUCUUUAAGUCUGAUGUGAAAGCCCACGGCUCAACCGUGGAGGGUCAUUGGGAAACUGGAGAACUUGAGUACAGAAGAGGAAAGCGGAAUUCCACGUGUAGCGGUGAAAUGCGUAGAGAUGUGGAGGAACACCAGUGGCGAAGGCGGCUUUCUGGUCUGUAACUGACGCUGAGGCGCGAAAGCGUGGGGAGCAAACAGGGAUUAGAUACCCUGGUAGUCCACGCCGUAAACGAUGAGUGCUAAGUGUUAGGGGGUUUCCCGCCCCUUAGUUGCUGCAGCUAACGCAUUAAAGCACUCCGCCUGGGGAGUACGGCCGCAAGGCUG
RNAcentral lists this ribosomal RNA (376 nucleotides) under uncultured organism. RNAcentral's name for it is "partial 16S ribosomal RNA". It matches the Rfam family "Bacterial small subunit ribosomal RNA", at positions 527 to 896 of the family's 1533-position model. The record is from RNAcentral.